Long non-coding RNA from Labeo rohita (rohu), 647 nucleotides. RefSeq lists it as uncharacterized. The record is from RefSeq and is a predicted model, not a curated record. The transcript is spliced from 5 exons. Lineage: Eukaryota; Metazoa; Chordata; Actinopteri; Cypriniformes; Cyprinidae.
CGCGGUCCCAGAUUUAUUGAGAGAAAAGCAAAUAAGCCGUUUGAUCAGAAGCGGGAACUGCAAGUCUGUCAGGAUACCAUCUCCGUGGCGUAUGCUGGCAAUGCCUGGUUGCUGUAAUUGAGCCUCAUCAGUUUUAGAAGCAACAGAUGUGAUGCAUUAUUACUAAUGUAGAGCAUGUGCAGACCUGGAUAACGUUAUGGAACACUAGGACGGUCCUGGUUUCGCCUCUUUCUGAACCAGCGCUCCACUUGUCUACUGGACCAGCUGCAUUUUUUGCACAGGCCCUUAAUAUCUGCCUGAUAAGAGAUGGAAGAGAAGAGAAGGGUAUCUGACUACAAGAAAGACUAAAGCAUAGGGCACGGUGACAUAGAGGUGAGAUGCUCUGGCGUAGACGAGCCCUUCCACGUCUUUGAGAUCGGCCCACGUGAGGUUCCCAGGCAGCCACAGCCGGUCCCACCACAGCCACUCACUGAUCGUCCCAAUCAUGAUUGCAACCUGCUCCAUUACAGAUUGAGUCCUACUACAAUCUACCUGAGUGUUCCCAGAGUUCCUGUCAGAAACAUGCUCUUCCGCCUCCUCGGAUUCGUCUGAGCUCCCAUAAUCAACCAGUCGUGGGACAUCGUUACCUGUUGACGAUUUAGUGCAGG